AGCAGUCGCCACGGGAAUACGGAGGGUGCAAGCGUUAUCCGGAUUUAUUGGGUUUAAAGGGUCCGUAGGCGGAUCUGUAAGUCAGUGGUGAAAUCUCACAGCUUAACUGUGAAACUGCCAUUGAUACUGCAGGUCUUGAGUAAAUUUGAAGUGGCUGGAAUAAGUAGUGUAGCGGUGAAAUGCAUAGAUAUUACUUAGAACACCAAUUGCGAAGGCAGGUCACUAAGAUUUAACUGACGCUGAUGGACGAAAGCGUGGGGAGCGAACAGGAUUAGAUACCCGAGUAGUCCCUGUCUCUUAUAC
RNAcentral lists this ribosomal RNA (303 nucleotides) under uncultured bacterium. Its description in RNAcentral is "partial 16S ribosomal RNA". It matches the Rfam family "Bacterial small subunit ribosomal RNA", at positions 507 to 807 of the family's 1533-position model. The record is from RNAcentral.